AAGAAAUUUAAUAAUUUUGAAAAUGGAUUUUUUUGUUUUGGCAAGAGCAUGAGAGCUUUUACUGGGCAAGAAGACAAGAGAUGGAGAGUCCAGCCGGGCCUGCGCUUAAGUGCGCGGUCUUGCUAGGCUUGUAAGUUUCUUUCUUGCUAUUCCAAACGGUGAGAGAUUUCUGUGCUUUUGUUAUAGGACAAUUAAAACCGUUUCAAUACAACACACUGUGGAGUUUUCAUAUCUUUGCAACUUUUUCUUUGGGCAUUCGAGCAAUCGGGGCCCAGAGGUAACAAACACAAACAAUUUUAUUUAUUCAUUAAAUUUUUGUCAAAAACAAGAAUUUUCGUAACUGGAAAUUUUAAAAUAUUA
RNAcentral lists this unclassified non-coding RNA (360 nucleotides) under Saccharomyces cerevisiae (brewer's yeast). RNAcentral describes it as "partial miscellaneous RNA". The record is from RNAcentral. Lineage: Eukaryota; Fungi; Ascomycota; Saccharomycetes; Saccharomycetales; Saccharomycetaceae.